RNAcentral lists this ribosomal RNA (285 nucleotides) under uncultured beta proteobacterium. RNAcentral's name for it is "partial 16S ribosomal RNA". It matches the Rfam family "Bacterial small subunit ribosomal RNA", at positions 202 to 477 of the family's 1533-position model. Lineage: Bacteria; Pseudomonadati; Pseudomonadota; Betaproteobacteria. The record is from RNAcentral.
AAGCAGGGGAUCGCAAGACCUUGCGCUUUUGGAGCGGCCGAUGUCUGAUUAGCUAGUUGGUGAGGUAAAGGCUUACCAAGGCUUCGAUCAGUAGCUGGUCUGAGAGGACGACCAGCCACACUGGGACUGAGACACGGCCCAGACUCCUACGGGAGGCAGCAGUGGGGAAUUUUGGACAAUGGGGGCAACCCUGAUCCAGCCAUGCCGCGUGAGUGAAGAAGGCCUUCGGGUUGUAAAGCUCUUUCAGCCGGAACGAAAAGGUUACGGCUAAUACCCGUGACUAAU